RNAcentral lists this transfer RNA (72 nucleotides) under Patescibacteria group bacterium. RNAcentral describes it as "tRNA-Arg". It matches the Rfam family "tRNA". From Rfam's summary of the family: Transfer RNA (tRNA) molecules are approximately 80 nucleotides in length. The record is from RNAcentral.
GCCCUCGUAGCUCAACGGAUAGAGUAACUGUCUUCGGAACAGUUGAUAGAGGUUCGAUUCCUCUCGGGGGCA